Long non-coding RNA from Oncorhynchus tshawytscha (Chinook salmon), 530 nucleotides. The record is from Ensembl. Lineage: Eukaryota; Metazoa; Chordata; Actinopteri; Salmoniformes; Salmonidae.
AACUCCUGUUUGAUUGGAUCUCAAUGGGUUACUUAGAUCUACAGUACAUAUUACAAUGACAGACAUCAGUGGAAACACUAGUGGAUGAGAGGUGUGUAGUGGAUGAGAGGUGUUUACUGGAUGAGGGGUGUUUAUUGGAUGAGGGGUGUUUAUUGGAUGAGAGGUGUGUAGAGGAUGAGGGGAGUGUAGAGGAUGAGAGGUGUUUAUUGGAUGAGAGGUGUGUAGAGGAUGAGAGGUGUGUAGUGGAUGAGAGGUGUGUAGAGGAUGAGAGGUGUGUAGAGGAUGAGAGGUGUGUAGAGGAGGAGAGAUGUGUAGAGGAUGAGAUUGGUGUAGAUGAAGAGAGUUGUGUAGAGGAGGAGAGGAUGAACUAUGACCUUUUAUUAUGACUUGAUGAUGGUUAUUAUACUGUCUUAUUGUGUCGCCCCAUGCAGCAACCAUCCCUGACAGGAACAUCACACCCUACGUUAUUACACAUAUGAUUGACUGUCAACGUGUGUGUACAUAAUUACAGAUAUGAUUGACAGCUGCAA